GACGAACGCUGGCUGCGUGCUUAACACAUGCAAGUCGAACGGAAAGGCCCUGCUUGCUUGGUGUGCCCGGGUGGCGACCGGGUGCGUAACACGUGAGUAUCCUGCCCUUGACUUUGGGAUAACUUCAGGCAACUGGGGCUAAUCCCGGAUAGGCGUUCCUGCUUCAUGGUGGGUGCUGCAACGUUUCGGCGGUUGGGGGUGGACUCGCGGCUUUUCAUCUUGUUGGUGGGGUGGUGGCUUACCAAGGCUUUGACGGGUCGCGGGCCUGAGAGGGUGACCGGCAACAGUGCCACAGAGAUACGGGACGGACUCGUGAGGGAGGCAGCAGUGGGGAAGAGUGCACGAUGGGCCGAAGCCUGAUGCAGCAACGCGGCGUGAGGGAUGACGGCCUGCUGGUUGGAGACGGCUAUCGCCUGUGACGAAGCGUGAGUGAAGGUAACGGAUGAAUAAGCACCGGCUAACUACGUG
Molecule: ribosomal RNA, 468 nt
Filed under: uncultured bacterium
Lineage: Bacteria
Description: partial 16S ribosomal RNA
Rfam family: Bacterial small subunit ribosomal RNA
Source: RNAcentral